ACACUUUUCUUUAAAUUCUUUUAAUAAAACACUUGAUUUAACAAAUAAACUGCCCCCUUUAUUGAGCCAUGCCUAUUAUUUUUAACUGAAUGUUUUUGCUUUAGAUUAGAAUAUCGGAAAUCGAAGGGAAACAACAAUACAGAAAAUAAAAAGGGAAGAUUGGGCAUCGAAGAAGCCAGAUUCUUAUAUCCCAUGUCAUGCUGUGCCAUUUUCAGAGUAAAAGCAAGUCAAUAAAAGACACACAAACAAACAAAAAAAAGCUUUGUAGGGGCAGAGACAAUGACGAGGCUUGAAUGGAAUUUAGGGUUGUGGAUGAUGAUGAAGUGAUAAAACACCAUUACUGCAGUCUCAUUCUGGUCCUAGUUUUCUUUUUCCACACUACUGAUUUUGUGGACCAUUGACUGGGUUUGAGGUCCAAGCUAUUUGUACAUUAGGGUUUUAGGUGUUUUAUCCCUUUCAUCUUUA
Molecule: long non-coding RNA, 465 nt
Organism: Gossypium arboreum
Lineage: Eukaryota; Viridiplantae; Streptophyta; Magnoliopsida; Malvales; Malvaceae
Exons: 2
Source: RefSeq, a predicted model, not a curated record